This 253-nucleotide ribosomal RNA is filed under the name uncultured bacterium. Its description in RNAcentral is "partial 16S ribosomal RNA". It matches the Rfam family "Bacterial small subunit ribosomal RNA", at positions 524 to 776 of the family's 1533-position model. The record is from RNAcentral.
UACAUGGGGUGCAAGCGUUGCUCGGAAUCAUUGGGCGUAAAGCGCGCGUAGGCGGUUAUUUAAGUUGGAUGUGAAAGCCCUCGGCUUAACUGAGGAAGUGCAUCCAAAACUGAAUAGCUAGAGUACGAAAGAGGGUCGCGGAAUUCCCGGUGUAGAGGUGAAAUUCGUAAAUAUCGGGAGGAACACCGGUGGCGAAGGCGGCGACCUGGGUCGAGACUGACGCUGAGGCGCGAAAGCGUGGGGAGCAAACAGG